GACGAACGCUGGCGGCGUGCUUAACACAUGCAAGUCGAACGAGGAUACCUAGACAGAAGCCUUCGGGUGGAAGACUUUGUAUCCGAGUGGCGGACGGGUGAGUAACGCGUGAGUAACCUGCCUUGAAGAGGGGAAUAACAGCGAGAAAUCGUUGCUAAUACCGCAUAAGACUACAGGAUCGCAUGAUCUAGGAGUCAAAGAUUUAUCGCUUCAAGAUGGACUCGCGUCCCAUUAGCUAGUUGGUAGGGUAAUGGCCUACCAAGGCGACGAUGGGUAGCCGGACUGAGAGGUCGAUCGGCCACACUGGGACUGAGACACGGCCCAGACUCCUACGGGAGGCAGCAGUGGGGAAUAUUGCACAAUGGGGGAAACCCUGAUGCAGCGAUGCCGCGUGAGGGAAGAAGGUUUUCGGAUUGUAAACCUCUGUCUUUAGGGAAGAAAGAAAUGACGGUACCUAAGGAGGAAGCCACGGCUAACUAUGUGCCAGCCGCCGCCGUAAU
RNAcentral lists this ribosomal RNA (500 nucleotides) under uncultured bacterium. RNAcentral's name for it is "bacterial SSU rRNA". It matches the Rfam family "Bacterial small subunit ribosomal RNA", at positions 28 to 524 of the family's 1533-position model. The record is from RNAcentral.